Molecule: unclassified non-coding RNA, 294 nt
Filed under: Melitaea cinxia (Glanville fritillary)
Lineage: Eukaryota; Metazoa; Arthropoda; Insecta; Lepidoptera; Nymphalidae
Description: misc RNA ENSMCXG00005012378.1
Source: RNAcentral
GGCGGGAUAACCAUCCAACUGCUGGCUUUGAAAUACACAGGCCGAAGACGGGCGGCAGCGUCUUCGGUGCGACAAAGCCAGUACUGCGGUCACCAACCCGCCUGCCCAGCGUGGUGACUAUGGGCAAAACACAUGAGUUCACGUUAUUUUUGGCGUAAACUUGUGGAGGCCUAUGUCCAGCAGUGGACUGUAUAGGCUGUAAUGAUGAUGAUGAAUGCUAUUUUAAUUUUUAAUUAGAUAUUUUUAUUAAAUUGAAAUAAUUAGUGCUUAGUUUAUAAAUUAUUAUGAUUAUAU